RNAcentral lists this long non-coding RNA (7646 nucleotides) under Sorghum bicolor (sorghum). Its description in RNAcentral is "long non-coding RNA (SBIC_LNC014449)". The record is from RNAcentral. Lineage: Eukaryota; Viridiplantae; Streptophyta; Magnoliopsida; Poales; Poaceae.
AAUAAAACUUAAGCAUGGAUAUGAUAAAUAGUUGCUCUGCCUAAUUUGUAAAUUUUAAGUUCUCUCUCAAGUUUAGAUAUAACUGUUAUAAUUUAAAGCUUGCUCUAGCCCUAAACUUGUGGGAUGAAAACUUGAUCUGAAGUCUAAGUUGUUAACGGAUAUGAUAUGGGAAGGUUGAGCUGCUGUUUAUCUGUUCCUAGAGAUGCUAGAAUUCUAGAGAAUUUUAUCUUUGAAAAUCUUUAAAAUAUUGCAUGAUGAGUUCCUGUAUGAUGAGAGUUUAAAUUCCUACCACAGCCAUAUAUACAUGCUUGCUAGACUUUGAGCCACACAUUUAAUAUUUACUGCUUAUGAGCAUUGAGUGUAGUCAAGCUGUGUAGACCCUUAGGAACUUGUCAUGUGGUUAAAUCAAGAUUCACUUGCACGUUCACUCAUAUAUGCUACUUCUACUCCGGAAGUACCAUCCACAUAUAUCCACCCAUUCCAUCUCCAGAAUCACCCAAAAAUAUUCUACUCCUAAUCCGGGAGAGAAUAACCAAAAAUAUUUCUGUUUUCCCCUUGUGAAAUAAAUGCUCAAGUUAUCUUGUUACUACCACUUGCUAUAUUAUCUCAAGAGAUGAGUGCUCUAAAAAAAUAUAUACGAGGAAAUAAAAAGGAGCAAGUGCUCGGAACCUCGAAAGAAAAGAAAAAGUGAGACGAGAGGUAAAAAUGGACAAGUGUCCGACAGUAGAAUUAGGGGUGCAAGAUACCCACCUGAAAAAAAAAGAAAAAAAAAGAAGAGCAUCUCAUUCUCCUCAUAAAGUUUCAAUAGCAAGGAAGGUAUGUAUCCCCUCAAAAGAGCAAAGUAGAAUUAGACUUCCACCACCAUUGUUUUCACCAUUGUUAUCACCAUCACCACCAUACACCAUUCAUUCGCCAUGCACAUCUUGAUUAAACUUAUUGGCUUGUUACUUUGGAUCCAUGGUUUUACUAUGCAAUAAAUGUCUUGUAAGUAUGUAUAUUUUAUCUCCCACCUAUGAGCUCCAGAUAUUAAAGCCUUAUUAGAGUAGGGUGAGAGAGAAGGCAAUGUCACUAUGCCUUAUACUACAAAUACUACAUAUCUUGAGAGAAGGCAUAUACCAUCAAUGCCUUGGUAAGGAUCCAAAAAUACCACAAAAGAGAGACCUGAGAGAAUCAUACAAGGAAUUUCUGAGUUUUAUUUGAAAAUCUGCAAAAACCCCAGAGCUAUAGCUGAUCAAGAAUAAGAGACAUGGCACUUGGCUAGACUGUUCUAUCUUUUAACCACUCAAGACAGAAGUGACAGUUACAAGUCCCAUGGUAAAGGUAAAGUAAGUAAGUUUUAAGUCUUGACAGUUUACUCUAACUCAGAGAUGAGAUCUUGUUUAAAAGCAUGUGUACCGUCAAAUUUUUUAAAAAAUAUUGCAGCAAUUUAUGAUCCAUAGCUGAGUCUAUCCUUGCUCAGGGACGAGCAAGAGGUAAGCUUGGGGGAGUUUGUUGACGGUCCUUAAGUAUCAAAUUUAAUUAUCAAAUAAAUAAAGAAAAGGAUCCAAAUGAAAUCAAGAUCUAGACUUAGGGUUUUAUCUGACAGAAUUCCACGAGUUUUGGUGUUUGUCUAUUUCUGCAGGGGGUUAUCAGGACAUAUGGAAGAAAGGCCCACAUGUCAGGAUUACGUAAAGAUAUUAACGUGCUGCGCAAUUAUCUUACAUCUAGAAGACUCCAGAAGCCACGAGACCGAAGCGGAGGCGAAACGGGGCCAGACCCUGGGCGGCCACCCAGUUGGUCAGGGCGCCCGCCCUGCCCCUGAGUCCAAUCAGGACUCUUCUUUGCGGGAGAUCUCCACCGACCUAAAGGAUGAAUCUAAACCAUACAAUCUAUGUCGGUUUGAUCCAACGGCCCAUAUUCACUUGAAGGGACUAUAAAACCAGACCCCCUGGCCCCUGGAGGAGAGAGCCUCUCAACCCUAAUUCAUUGUUCCAUCAAGGGAGAAGAAGCCUCUGAUCAAGAUUAGAGCCACCACAUCAAUUAGACAUCUAGAUUAGCAUAGCUACAUAGGAUUAGAACUAGAAGGAGUCAAUCUUCGAUUGGUUUCCGGAUCUGUCAAGAGGAUUCUUGGUAAUUCUCUAAUUGUUCAUCUUUGUUCUUUAAUAUUAUGAAUAUGACUUGUUCUACUUCAAUAUAUUGCUUAUGACUUUGCUCUACUUGUUUAUAUUCAAGAUUAUAUUGUUCUUAGUCUAUCAUAGUUAUAUACUUGGCUUAGUUAGAUUGGAUUUAUAUACAUGUUUAGGAUCGUAUAGCGUUUAUUCAUCGGAUCCCUAAAUGAUAGAUAUUGUGUAGGCGUGGUGCUUAUACCGUAUUUAUCUGCGAUUGUACCCAAUAUGCUAGAUCGUGGGGUAGUUCGUGAUAGUGACAGCUUCAUUGAUUCUUAUAUAGUCCCCCUCUCGUGUAUUGGGCUGGCAGAGCAACAUUAUUACAGGGGAGUGAUUGCUAUGUUUCUCAUAUUCCUUGCUAAUAUCACUAUGUAUGGGCGUAGUCUUGUCUCACAAUGAUUGCUAAGUAUGCUUGCACUAACUAUGAUAUGCUAGACUAUAUAGUUGAGAAUAACUUAGGAAAUAUUCUUGUAGUUCGUUCUAAUAACCAUGCUAAUGACUUGCUAGAAUAUUUAAUUGAGGUGCUAUCAUAUUUAUAUGUGGCUAAGUUAUGCUGAUCAGAUUAAUUAUCUUUGUCACUAUUCGUUACUUCAUAUAUCCUUUAUGUGACACUUACCCCUGUAUGAAAGAGUUAGAUAAAUGUUCUCAACUAUACAUGCAAUGAUAGAUACUCAAUCUUAUAUUCCAUUCUAUAAUCAAUAUUGAUGGUUACUAAUCCCUUCCUAAUGGUAAAAAUAUCAAUAACGAUACCUGGAAUACUUCCUGGUUAAAAUGCUACAUCGGUAUUAAUCUGUGCACUUGCAAAUCCCAUUCAUUAUUUAUUUAGAUGAGCAAUUGCAUAUUUCAAUACCGCAUCUCUCAUGUCAUGCUGGGGAUGACAACUUGGCUUAAGUGGUAUGAGGGAUAGGUUUAGCAUUUUUGGCACUAUUAUCAGAAUUAGAAAACUAAGUCUACUUUUGGUAAUGAUGUUAAGAAUACCCAACAAGCAUUUUUUGGCGCCAUUGCUGGGGAAGGUUGAUUACUAAUCAAGAAUGAAUAUAGGAUUUUGAGUUAUCAUUCGCAUCACUAAUGUGACUAAGCUUAUCAAUUCUCUCAUACAGUUUUACCCCGAUAUUUUUCUAUUUUAUCUUAUGCAGGGUAAUGAAUGAAUAGAAGACAUCUUCUAGGAAAUUUUGUUGACAAUCCCGAAGCAUUAUUCAGAAAAACAAGAGCCAAGCUCAAGAAGAGAUCAUCAACACUAUAGCAAGAAGCUGCAUCCAAUCAAGAAGAUCACCGGAACUUGUCUUCAGAGUUCGAAGCCAUGGCGAACAAAUCGAUCCGUGAGUUCUCAGCUCCCACUACGGACAACAUCCACACUGGACCUGUUACAGAGAUCGAUGGCAACUUUAAGCUCAAGCCUGGACUUAUCAACUUGGUGCAAUCCAACCAGUUCUGUGGGAAGGCAUAGUGCUCAUCUCCAACACUUCCUGGAGAUAUGCAACACAUUCACCAUAUCAGGAGUCCCUAGAGAUGCUAUACUACUUCGCCUCUUCCCAUUCUCACUGUUAGGAAGAGCGAAGCAGUGGUUCUACGCUACAAAGGAGAAGAAUACUACGUGGGCACUCUGCUCAACAAACUUCCUGGCUAAGUUCUUUCCCAUGGGCAAGACCAAUGCUCUCCGUGGGAAGAUUACAAGUUUUCAGCAACAACAUGAUGAAUCUGUUCGAGAAGCAUGGGAGCGCUUCCAAGAUUAUAUCCUAGAAUGUCCCCAUCAUGGAAUGGAGAGUUGGCUACUGAUGCAGAUGUUUUAUCAUAGGCUCGGCAACAGUGCUCGAGAAACCAUGGAUGCUGCAGCUGGAGGAGCAUUCCUAUCACUUACCAUAUCACAAGCCACAACUCUUGUGGAGAAGAUGGCGUCCAACCAAAGCUGGAAUGAAGAAAGGACCCAGACACGCAAGAGAGGUGGAGAUAUGCAUCAGCUCAAGGAGGUAGACAUGCUGUCUGCAAAGUUAGACCUGCUCAUGAAGAAGCUCGAUGAUAGAGCUGGAGAUAAGAAAGAAGUUAUGCACAUCUACGACACUCACAUGACUUGUGAGGAGUGUGGAGAUACUCGACACUCAGGCAAUUACUGCCCUGAGAUGCUUGAGGAUGUGAACUACAUCAACAACAAUAACAACAACUACUACAACCGUCCUCAACAAAAUCACGGUUGGAAUCAACAGAGGCCUAACUACUCAGGUAAUUAUCAAGGUAAUAAUUCUUACAACAAUAACAAUAAUUUUCCACCUCUAAGAGAGUUAGUGUCUAAUCAAGGAAAGCUAAUGGAUAACCUAUCUAAGAAAUUGGCAUCUAAUGAUAAAAUGCUAGAAAAUAUAAAUAAUAGAAUGGAUAAUUUCUCUACUGCCAUCAAGAAUCAAAUUAGCUUUAAUAAAAUGAUUGAAUCUCAGUUAAAUCAAAUAGCUGCUGCUGUUCCUACUACUAACCCCGGUAUACCAUCACAACCGGAAGGAUUAGAAUCUGCAAAUCUUGUAGACAUGUUUGAUGCAGGUAAUUGGAGUAACCCCGUCACUGAAGUUACUACUGACCUUCUGCCGGUCAAGAGAGGCGAUCGAGGAUGCCCCGUCAUCCCGAUCUCAUCGGCAUGGUGGACUUCCCAGAAGCACUCUGCGACUUCGGCUCUAGUGUCAACAUUAUACCUAGGGUACUCUAUGAAAAAUUCUUUACAUAUCCUUUAUUAGAAACAACCAUGUGUUUGCAGUUUGCAGAUCAGACGAUAAGUUUUCCAAAAGGAAUAUUGAAGAACCUUUGUGUCCAAGUUGGUACCUUAUACGCCCCAGCAGACUUCAUGGUAAUAGAGACCGGUAAUGAUGAGAGGGCACCUAUCAUCUUAGGAAGGCUAUUCUUAAACACCUCGGGAGCUGUCAUCUACGCUAGUGCUGCCAAGAUCAGUUUCUACAUCAAAGAGAAGAAGGAGACGUUUCCUUCAAGAACAAGACUACACAAAUCCCAGAUCAAUCCAGACGUGAAUCAAGGAAGAGGACCAACAGGAGGAACAGGAACAAGCAAGUGUGGACCGAGUCAGCUAAGAUGGUCACUGCAGUUCAUGGAGGCCAAGAUCAUCAACUUAAGUCACCAUUUUUGACCAAGAAGGAUGACCCAGGAAUGCCAAGCAUCUAUUGCUCCAUAAAUGGAUACAACUUCUACAAGACGACUUGUGACACCGGAUCAGGCGUCAACAUAAUGGUCGCAGUCACCUAUCGGCUCUUGUUCGGAACCAUGCCCUUAAAACCAACAUACAUUCAUCUCCAGAUGACAGAUCAGACAUUCUGAGAAGUUAAAGGAAUAGUAACUGACGUCCCUGUCAAAAUAGACGAUCAUUUUGUCUACACAGACUUUUAGGUUAUUGACAUGGGAGAAGACGAAUACGAUCCACCCAUCAUCCUUGGAAGACCGUUCCUCAGCACCGUUAAAGCAAUCAUCUACAUUGGAACCGGAGAAGUCCAUAUGCACUUCCCCUCAUAGAAGGUACGCCGCUAUUUUACUGACCCUAAUUAUAUCGUUGUAGACUCUAAGCAGGUCAGAAAACAACGCAACCGCAACCAGAGGAGACAAAUCAUCAAGGACAGAUGGGCAGACUAUGAAGGAGAAGUGGUAAGAUCAGAAGACAUACAGUUUAAACAGAAUUAUCCUGAGGAGACCGUAGCACCGAGUUAGGAAUGGAAAGAGAAGAUAACUAUACAUGAAGAGGAGGCGCUGCCGGAUGUACCGACUACGCCACCCAACGAAUCCCAGGACAACUGAGAAAACGGAGAGUCCCGUUCGGAGGACUUAAAAACACCGAACGCCUUGCCAAGAGGUAAACUUCGUAGUUAUCCUUUCCCUUUCAAUUAUUUAAAAUAGUUUGCUUAGUUAAUUAUGUUCAUACUAUCCUAAAAAGAAAAUAAAAAUGUUAAAAAACAGUAAGCCCCAUGUGAGUAUACGAGUGGCAUAAUACCCAUAAGUACGUUCACUGUGGUGGCAUAAAAAUAAAAUAAAUAUUUCUUUUCUGCUUUAUAAAAUGAAAAUAUAAAAACAGGGAGUAAUAUUUAUUGAGGAGACUCAACAUGAUAAAGGCUAGAUAUUUAUGCUAACACCUAAUCAGUUCCACAAAGCUUUGUUGUCUGUUUGAGCUCCAUAGGAUUUAAGAAUCGAGAAGACUAGCAGAUGGAGAACAUUCUAAUCGCUGUCAGAAUGCUGCUGACUUUCAAAUACACCUCUGCCACCUGCUAGCUACAUCAGGAGAAGUUACGUCAAAAUUCAGCUUGGGGGAGAGCACCCCCAUUUAUCCCGCUAAGUAUUUCUAUCUUUAUACUUAUAUUAUAUUAAAAUAUAAAUAUACAUAACUAUGGAAAACCAAAUAAAGAUUUUAUGCUUAUAUAUAUAUGUCUUUUGCUUAGUAUGCUUAAUAAAUAAAUAAAGUGGCUAUGCUAAACUGAAUCUUAAUAAUAAAACUCUAGCAUGGAUAUGAUGAAUAGUUGCUCUGCCUAAUUUUUAAAAUUUGAAAUUCUCUCUCAAGUUUAGACAUAGCUGUUAUAAUUUAAAACUUGCUCUAAACCUAAAAUUGUGGGAAGAAAACUUGAUCUGAAGUCUAAGUUGUUAACAGAUGUGAUAUGGAAAGGUUGAGCUGCUGUUUAUCUGUUCCUAGAGAUGCUAGAAUUCUGGAGAAUUUUAUCUUUGAAAAUCGUUAAAAUGUUGCAUGAUGAGUUCCUGUAUGAUGAGAGUUUAAAUCCCUACCACAGCCAUAUAUACAUGCUUGCUAGACUUUGAGCCACACAUUUACUUUUUACUGCUUAUGAGCAUUGAGUGUGGUCAAGCUGUGUAGACCCUUAGGAGCUUGUCAUGUGGUUAAAUCAAGAUUCACUUGCACGUUCACUCACAUAUUCUGCUUCUACUCCGGAAGUACCAUCCACAUAUAUCCACUCAUUUCCAUCUCCAGAACCACCCAAAAACAUUCUACUCCUAAUCCGGGAGAGAAUGGCCAAAAAUAUUUCUAUUUUUCCCUUGUGAAAUAAAUGCUCAAGUUAUCUUGUUACUACCACUUGCUAUAUUAUUUCAUGAGAUGAAUGCUCUAAAAAACGAGGAAAUAAAAAGGGGCAAGUGCCCGGAACCUCGAAAGAAAAGAAAAAGCGAGACGAGAGGUAAAAAUGGACAAGUGUCCGACAGUAGAAUUAGGGGUACAAGAUACCCACCUGAGAGGAAAGAAAACAGAAAAUAUAGAGCAUCUCAUUCUCCUCACAAAGUUUCAAAAAGCAAGGAAGGUAUGUAUCCCCUCAAAAGAGCAAAAGUAGAAUUAGACUUUCACCAUUGUUAUCACCAUCAUCACCAUACACCAUUCAUUCGCCACACAUGCACAUCUUAAUUUGACUUAUUGAUUUGUUUCUUUGGAUCCAUGGUUUGACUAUACAAUAAAUGUCUUAUAAGUAUGUAUAUUUUAUCUCCCACCUAUGAGCUCCAGAUAUUAAAGCCUUAUUAGAGUAGGGUGAG